This 2118-nucleotide long non-coding RNA is filed under the name Anser cygnoides (Swan goose). RNAcentral's name for it is "lncRNA (ENSACDG00005012967.1)". The record is from RNAcentral. Lineage: Eukaryota; Metazoa; Chordata; Aves; Anseriformes; Anatidae.
AUGUCUCAGCUGCUAAAUGACAGGGAAGCCAGAAAAAUUGUCUCAGGGAUAAAUACCCUGUUCAAGCAAUGGAAUGAGAAAUCAGAACCCUAUUUUUCAGAAGAAUAUAGCCCAUCUCAUGAUCUAAUCCUAUAUCUGGAGAGAGUGCAGGCUGUGCUACAGUCUGUGCCUCAGUGGCCUGUUACGAAGAGAUUGCUUCUGGUAGAUGGAGCUAUAAGGAAUGUAAUAACGCAAUAUUUAAACUUCACUGAAGGUAAAGCUACAUGGUGGUUACUUGUCAGUAGCACUGUCCAAAGGCAGUUAUUGCAGGGAUCCACCGUGUGUGUGAGUGAGGACAUUUGCACCAGGAACUGGAGCAAGGCUGCAGCCUUGUAUGUCCAGGUGCCAGCAGCUGGGAUCCAGUGGCAGCUGCUGGGCAGACUGAGUGCCUGAGUGCUGGAGGGAUCCACCUUGUGGACAUGUACACGUUUAUUUCCCCUAACAGACAUACAUCCUGAACAGCCUUGCCUCUGUUGGGCUACUAGAUUUAGCAGCCCCUAACGUUAUCUAGUAACAUUUUUGGUGUUGUCUUUUAUUUGAGAAGGGUGAGGUUACAGUUUUCCUUGGGUCCUUAAGGAAUUAGGCAAAUUUUCUGCAUUUCAAAAGAAUUUUCCGUCUAAAUCAGCUAUUACAUAUGGGAAGUGUCCAAUGUUAUUUACAGCAUUUAUAGCUAGAAAUCUGCAUAGGACCUUAUUUUCCUCUCGUAAAAAUCACUAAAGCUUGCUGAAGUCACUAGAGCUACUCUGGUAUAGCUGUGAAAGAGGACAGGGUCAUAUUUUGCUGAUGUAAGAGUCCCAGUGCAACAUGGAAUCUUUGUCUUUAACUGUUGUGUCUUUCAAACCAUGUUGUGCAUAGUUUUCUUUCCUGGAAGGAUGCUUCCAGCCCCUGAAUUACUCUGUAGGUUAAAUAUUUUCUGUAUGUGGUGGUGGGGAACUGUCUUACAGAAGCAUUACGUAUCCUGGAAAAACUGAUUGCCUUUACCCAAAGAGAUGGAUUCAUUCAUCUAGACAUCAGAAAGCUAUUUGUGGAGUUAAAACAGGUAUGUUGUUAUUUAAUGUCUGCAUACUAGUUUGCAUAAAGCUACACAGGCUUAAUUUAGAAGUGAAAAAUACUGGCUAAGUAGAGUAUUUAACUUUUUAUUUAGCAGCAUUUUGGUCCAACUUUAAUUUAUUUACUUAUUUUAAUCUUCUGACAUUCAUGAGAAUUAACACAGAGUGUGAAUUAAAUCUGUUACUUUAUCCUUAAAUUCAUUUUUAAAGAGACAGUGUAUUCACUACUUUUUAGAUGUUGAUAAGCAACACUUCCUACGUAUGCGAUGAUGUGCUUACAAUGUUCGAGAAGGCCCUGCAGCUUCCACGGGGCUCUGAUAUCACUGAUGUUUUAGCCAUACAUGUGUGUCCUGACAGUGACUCAGAGGUGGCUUUCAAGCUAAGCAACCAGGUCCAGUCGCUAAAGGAAGCUGUAAGUAUUUCUGAAUUCUUUUCGUUUAAAGCUUGCAGUGCCUUACUUAUAUUGCUAUCACAAAAUGAAAUAUAUUAACAGGGGCUGUAGAUUACUUCUUAGGGUUUGCUAUUAAUAAGUGAUUGGCAACUAAUUAUUUAAACUGAUUAGAAUGUGCUUGGUGGCAAAUCUAAGAACCAGGGCCAAAAUCUCUGGAGUGCUUACCUUUUACUGGUUUUAAACAAUUGUUCUCUUUACUGUGAAAGGUCCUGCUUCUGCAGAAAGUGACUUAUGGACAACAGAGCCUGCCAGAUUCAAUAACGGAUGAUUAUUUGGGAUGGCAAGAAAUAGAAGAGCAGCUAGCUGAAAGUUACCAUUAUUACUGUGUAAUUAAUCAGUUGCUGAGAACAGAAGCGCCAUCUGAGGAGGAUGUCCAUUUCAGCUCUUGUCAGGAAGAGCUGUUCUUCUCACUGUAUGUAUUUUGGAAGUGCUUUAAUACAUAAAGAUCCUGAUUCUCUUCUUGCUGAUGCCAGCCUGGAGUAGGUAUAGUAAUGAGUAAAUGAAUAGGUAAAAAGGUUAAACUCCUGCUUUCUGCAUUUGAUUACCACCUGAAAUAAACCAUUUUCUGUAGCAGAAACA